This 31-nucleotide non-coding RNA is filed under the name Mus musculus (house mouse). Lineage: Eukaryota; Metazoa; Chordata; Mammalia; Rodentia; Muridae. The record is from RNAcentral.
UGGAUUCUCUAGCCCAAAGCCAAUGAGCUAC